This 2810-nucleotide long non-coding RNA is filed under the name Gossypium barbadense (sea-island cotton). RNAcentral's name for it is "long non-coding RNA (GBAR_LNC022869)". Lineage: Eukaryota; Viridiplantae; Streptophyta; Magnoliopsida; Malvales; Malvaceae. The record is from RNAcentral.
AAGCUUGUGCCUAGGACAAUUAUUGACAUACAUAACAACUACAAAGAAAGCAACGUUAGCCACCACGAAGACAGGCACCAACCAUGAUGUCCAUUGAGGUUCUGUAUCGUCUAUCAUGUAAGUAGAUGAUGAUAUGUAACUGCCGCCGCUGCUAUCAUUAAUGCUAUUGCUGUAUCUCUUUGCCCCUCCUCCUCUGUUUUCUAUAUCACCCCCUGCCAUUUUUAUUCUGUUUCCCCAAACCAAAAAGGAGUCCUUUUUUUUUUUUCGGAUUUGGCUUCUUCUAUGUAUCCUGAAAGCCUGAAACUUUAACUUGAUUAUUUUUUUUUCUUUUGAAAAGAUUUGAUUUUAAAUGAUGGAGUUGGUGAGAGGGGGUUUAAUUAGAGAGUUAUGGAGGAAGAUAGUGAAGGGAGUGGGACACUGUUUUUUGUUUUUUUCUUUUUUGUGUCAUUGCUUUGUUUUUCAGGUUCUUCUAACUUCACAGUGGGAAAUCUUGAUCUUUUUACGAGAAGAUAAUAUAUUUUAAUGCAUUUAAAUCUCGAUCUUUUAACAACUAACGACUCAAUUGGUAUAAGUGUUUAAGUAUUGAAAUUUAAUAGGUGAGUUAUGUUCGUAUUUUCCAUGAAAGGUAACUAAGCACCUACUUAAACAUUAUGUCUAAUUAAUGUUUUGUACCAACUACUGCAACAUAACUAUCUAAUAUCCCAUUCAUCUUUUGUUUGUUAAUCAUCCUAAUUAAAUUGAAAAUAAAAUUGAUUUUAUAUAUAAUCCAACCACUGCAACAUAACUAUCCAAUAUCCCAUUCAUCUAUAAAGUAAAUUUCUCUUUUGGAAAUCGAGAAAAUGGUAAUUCACAGAAUAUAUUCUAUUAAAAAGUAAAAAAAAAGAAAGGAAUAAUUUUUCAGUUCAUUUCAAACCUUCAAACCCUCGUAACCCUCCACUGUAAUUUAUUUAUAUAUAUUAUGAUAUCAUUUUUUGAAGAAUAUGAUGCUCUUAGUUGUUUGGCAUUAGAUAUUUCUCCGACUUAUAUAAUUUCAACUCAAUUUUUACACAUCAAAAUUCGAUCAAGAAAAUUCACCAGCUCAACUGUAUGAGUUUCUUCAACCAACUUAUGAUCGACAAUCUAUAAGUACAACUUUCCGUUAUACAUAUUUUCCUAACUAUUGCUUGCGACAGUAGCCAUCGACAUGGAAGUAGUUGAGAAGAAAAUAUCAAGAAAGAACCAGCAUGGCCUACAUGUUAGAACCAUAGUCUAAAUCUCGAAUGGAGGAGAGAAACUGAGAGCCUACUUUACUGCCACUUCUAUUCCCAACAGUAUACGCAAAGCAUACAUUGAAAACGAAACCCCAGUUAAAAAAUAUUCAGGCGGUUAAAUUUAAUAUACAUAUUUGGUAGGAAUUCAUUAUAUCAUAAAAAUUAAUCCUUUCACAAAAAUGAACACUCAAUCAAUAUAUAUAGCUUCUGACCUUUGACUCUGCAGCAGAUCCCAACAUUUUAAAGAAAAAUAUAAAGAGAAAAUGUAAGUGUUCAACUAGGCUUCUUAUAUCUUUCACUUCCUCAUAUUACAGUAAUUUUGCUAUUCCAUCCAUGUCUUUUGAGGUGGUGCAUCGUUUCUUUUCAUGCUACCGUUGCAGGCCAUCAACGCAAAACGAAGAACAUGAUGCUGCGCAUUGCUAGUGUACGCAACCGUCAACAUAUCAUCAUCAAUGAGUCUACUGAUCAAAGGCGGUGAUUCACCAUACGUGUCACUCUUAAAACAGUGGGAAUCAUUUGAAACUGUUAACCCCUGCACCAUUCAGAAAAACAAAGCUGCCCUUAUAACAUGGCUGUAGCAACUCACUAGUAAGGUACCUUCAUAGUCAAGUUACACAUAUAUAUAUAUAUGAUGGACCAGCUACAUCUUUCCAGUGUAUGCAUCUGUCUUGAAUGUUAGAUCAACUGUUUUGUUGAAUUUAGAGUUAUUCUAGGCUGAUCUGUACUGUGCAGAUAACGUAUAUUUGCUUAAGUGCUUUUCUAAUUAUUUUUGGCUAAACUACAUUCAAGGUCACUAAACUAUUAGUAAAUUUACGUUCUGAUCACUUAACUUCAAAAACUUAUAAAAUGGUCAUUGAACUAUUUGAAAGUUUUCAUUUACAUUGCUAAACUAUUUGAAAGUUUUUAUUUAAGUCACUAGGUUGUUAAGUUUUUUUUAAUAAAAAAAUUUUGGCUACUAAGCUCCAAGUAGAACAUACCUUGAUCUAAGUUAAUCUGACAAUUAGUGUCGAAGAUCGAAGAAGAAAGUUAUUUGGAUUUUAAUUUGUAGAUUCAUGACGUUCAAAGUUAUUUCACAAAAAAAGUUUGAACUAUAAAAGAAAAGGAUAAAGAGAACUUUCAAUUCGUAUAAGUGGUGUGAAUAGAGAAGGUCAUAUAAUAAAAAUUUUAACAACCUAGUAACUUAAAUGAAAACUUUCAAAUAAUAUAAUGACUAUUUGUAAUUUUUUAAAGUUGAGUAACCAAAACUUAAAUUUACUAAUAAUUCCGUGAUCUUGAAUGUAAUUUAUCCUAAAUUUUUAAUGCUUUUGCAAAACCAUUCCCAAUAAUAAUUUAAAGGAAAAAAACUUAAAUUUUUUAAAAGAUUAUGCUAAACUUGCCGUGGCAGUAUUUAAACCGAGUUAAAUAUUAUCCAAACCAUCAACUUAUUAAAGAAAAACAGUGAGAAUCAAGUGUGCCUGAUCAAAUGUGACAUUGCCUUAUAAUGUAGGAGACAUUUUUUGUUGUUGUUGUGUUAUGGGAGAGACAGGUAUUAGUCAACCCACCUAGCUUGCCCUAAAGCUC